RNAcentral lists this ribosomal RNA (447 nucleotides) under uncultured bacterium. Its description in RNAcentral is "partial 16S ribosomal RNA". It matches the Rfam family "Bacterial small subunit ribosomal RNA", at positions 29 to 523 of the family's 1533-position model. The record is from RNAcentral.
AACGAACGCUGGCGGCAGGCUUAACACAUGCAAGUCGAGCGCGUAGCAAUACGGGCGGCAGACGGGUGAGUAACGCGUGGGAAUCUACCUUUUGCUACGGAAUAACUCAGGGAAACUUGUGCUAAUACCGUAUGUGUCCUUCGGGAGAAAGAUUUAUCGGCAAGAGAUGAACCCGCUUUGGUUUAGCUAGUUGGUGAGGUAAUGGCUCACCAAUGCGACGAUCCAUAGCUGUUCUGGGAGGAUGAUCAGCCACAUUGGGACUGAGACACGGCCCAAACUCCGACGGGAGGCAGCAGUGGGGAAUAUUGGACAAUGGGCGCAAGCCUGAUCCAGCCAUGCCGCGUGAGUGAUGAAGGCCCUAGGGUUGUAAAGCCCUUUCAGCGGGGAAGAUAAUGACGGUACCCGCAGAAGAAGCCCCGGCUAACUUCGUGCCGGCCGCCGCGGUAA